Molecule: ribosomal RNA, 253 nt
Filed under: uncultured bacterium
Lineage: Bacteria
Description: partial 16S ribosomal RNA
Rfam family: Bacterial small subunit ribosomal RNA
Source: RNAcentral
UACGUAGGGGGCAAGCGUUAUCCGGAUUUACUGGGUGUAAAGAGAGCGCAGGCGGCACGGCAAGCCUGAUGUGAAAGCCCGCGGCCCAACCGCGGGACUGCAUUGGGAACUACCGGGCUGGAGUGCCGGAGAGGUAGGCGGAAUUCCUAGUGUAGCGGUGAAAUGCGUAGAUAUUAGGAGGAACAUCAGUGGCGAAGGCGACUUUCUGGACUGUAACUGACGCUGAGGCACGAAAGUGUGGGGAGCAAACAGG